Molecule: ribosomal RNA, 493 nt
Filed under: Propomacrus bimucronatus
Lineage: Eukaryota; Metazoa; Arthropoda; Insecta; Coleoptera; Glaphyridae
Description: partial 16S ribosomal RNA
Rfam family: Bacterial large subunit ribosomal RNA
Source: RNAcentral
CAAAAACAUCACCUCUAGCAUCACCAGUAUUUCGCCUGUUUUCACAAAAACAUGGCGUUUUGAUUAUAAUUUAAGGUCUGGCCUGCCCAAUGAGUAGUUGAAUGGCCGCGGUAUUUUGACCGUGCAAAGGUAGCAUAAUCAUUAGUUUUUUAAUUGAAAGCUGGAAUGAAUGGUCGGACGAGAAAAUAACUGUCUCAGUAUAAUUUUGUUAGAAUUUUAUUUUUAAGUUAAAAAGCUUAAAUAUGUUUAAAAGACGAGAAGACCCUAUAGAGUUUUAUACAUGUAUAUUUAUUGGUUUUAUAGUAUUUUGAUGCUAAUAUUUAGUAACGUAUUUUGUUGGGGUGACAGAAAAAUUGACUAAACUUUUUCUAAAAUUGAACAUUUAUUUAUGAUUGUUUGAUCCAUUAUUUAUGAUUAUAAGAUUAAAUUACCUUAGGGAUAACAGCGUAAUUUUUUUUGAGAGUUCUUAUCGAUAAAAGAGUUUGCGACCUCG